RNAcentral lists this ribosomal RNA (408 nucleotides) under uncultured bacterium. Its description in RNAcentral is "partial 16S ribosomal RNA". It matches the Rfam family "Bacterial small subunit ribosomal RNA", at positions 28 to 526 of the family's 1533-position model. The record is from RNAcentral.
GACGAACGCUGGCGGCGUGCUUAACACAUGCAAGUCGAACGAAGUGGCGAACGGGUGAGUAAUACGUGGGUAACCUGCCCUCCUUUUUGGGAUCAGCCUUGGAAACGGGGUCUAAUACCGAAUAAAGGGGGAUGGGCUCGCGGCCUACCAGCUUGUUGGUGUGGCGAUGGCCUACAAAGGCGGUGCCGGGUAGCCGGCAUGAGAGGGUGACCGGCCACAGUGGGAAUGUGAUACGGCCCAGACUCCGACGGGAGGCAGCAGUGGGGGAUAUUGCACAAUGGGCGAAAGCCUGAUCCAGCCAUGCCGCGUGUGUGUAGAAGGUCUUCGGAUUGUAAAGCACUUUAAUUUGGGAGGCGUUACCAACAGAAUAAGCACCGGCUAACUUCGUGCCAGCAGCCGCGGUAAUUC